GAUUUUUGGUCGGGUAAGUGAAACUUUUCAAAGGAGCUCAGGUCUAUUUGGUUAUUAUAUAUUCAUAGAGUUGAGAUUAAUCCGGGGAAGAAAAAAAAGAACGGGAGACUUUUGAAAUGAUUUUGGAGAGGUCACAUUUGAGAAUAGCAGAAGUCUUUGAUAAAGAAGUUCAGUUUUGAGAGUUUAAGUAAGCUGAUUUUUGCAUAAAUAGAAAUCAGUUUCCUUUCAGUUUUUUUAGAGAGUCUUGGCUGGUCUUUCAAUCUUUAAAAAUCAGUAGUUUGAGAGUAAACAGGCUGCAUUUUAUCACUUAAAAUUCUGUCUUGGAGAGUUUGAAAAAAGAAAUCAAAGUACUGCUUCAUUGCAUUUCUGAGUUGAUUUCUGCUUUCUAUUUGUUUUUGGGAGUUCACUGGUUCAGUUUGGUAUUGCUUUAAUUGGUUUUUCUGCGUUUGCUGUUAGUUUCUCGUCACUGUUCCAUUGUUUAUUGAUGGAAUUCUACUGUUUAUAAUAUGUUAUUGGGCUGUUGUUGUUUGUUGUUGUUACUGUGUUGCUUACUACUGCUGCUGAUUCUCAUAUUCAUUUCUUGUAUUUUCAACACAAGGUACACACUCGAAUUCAUUGGUGUAACCUCGAAUUGGAAUAAAAUGAUGUAGUAUUUUCGGCCUAUGUUCAUGUGAAUAUUUGUAGUGAUAGUCAGUCCAAUAUUGUCAAUUGUUUAAUUUUCCUUUUGUUUGAAUCAUACUGAGUUAAGAACAGGUCAAUUAGGAUUGCCUCUACCAUUUUGAACCCUUUAGACUUGUAACAAACUAUGGAAUGUGUUUUGUUGUACUAGUUUAUUUCCAACUUUCCCCGUUGUUCAUAUUCACAGUAAUAGUAGCAAAUAAUAGACUUCUAUUAACAGCUAACAUUUGAGUGAACAUAGUGAUGCCUUAAAUCUAGAAAGAUAGGAAUUUGAAUUAAUACUUGGGUGAGUGUUAGUGUUGGGAAAUAAAUAGUUAGUCAAUAUUCAUGUUUCGUUAAAAUUAGCAAGCCUCGAAUGUGUUAGUUUCAUCUAGUUAAUAGCGCUUCAACUUAGCCGAUACUUUCUAAUAGAAAAAAAAACGCAAUAACGCGCCUAAUAGUACAUAAAUCUGGUCGUAAGAGUUAAAACCAGGGCAAUAACUUUCUUGUGCAUUUGAUCAGAAUAGCUUAAAGGAACAAAACAAUCUUC
This 1207-nucleotide long non-coding RNA is filed under the name Nicotiana benthamiana. RNAcentral's name for it is "long non-coding RNA (NBEN_LNC004507)". Lineage: Eukaryota; Viridiplantae; Streptophyta; Magnoliopsida; Solanales; Solanaceae. The record is from RNAcentral.